Molecule: ribosomal RNA, 468 nt
Filed under: uncultured bacterium
Lineage: Bacteria
Description: partial 16S ribosomal RNA
Rfam family: Bacterial small subunit ribosomal RNA
Source: RNAcentral
GACGAACGCUGGCGGCGUGCUUAACACAUGCAAGUCGAACGGAAAGGCCCUGCUUUUGUGGGUUGCUCGAGUGGCGAACGGGUGAGUAACACGUGAGUAACCUGCCCUUGACUUUGGGAUAACUUCAGGAAACUGGGGCUAAUACCGGAUAGGAGCUCCUGCUGCAUGUUGGGGGUUGGAAAGUUUCGGCGGUUGGGGAUGGACUCGCGGCUUAUCAGCUUGUUGGUGGGGUAGUGGCUUACCAAGGCUUUGACGGGUAGCCGGCCUGAGAGGGUGACCGGCCACAUUGGGACUGAGAUACGGCCCAGACUCCUACGGGAGGCAGCAGUGGGGAAUAUUGCACAAUGGGCGGAAGCCUGAGGCAGCAACGCCGCGUGCGGGAUGACGGCCUUCGGGUUGUAAACCGCUUUCGCCUGUGACGAGGAGUGAGUGACGGUAAUGGGUAAAGAAGCACCGGCUAACUACGUG